UCCGGCUUAUCACCGGCAGUCCCUCUAGAGUGCCCAACUUAAUGAUGGCAACUAAAGGCGAGGGUUGCGCUCGUUGCGGGACUUAACCCGACAUCUCACGAUACGAGCUGACGACAGCCAUGCAGCACCUGUCUCACUGUCCCCGAAGGGAAAACCGUAUCUCUACGGCUGUCAGUGGAUGUCAAGUCCAGGUAAGGUUCUUCGCGUUGCAUCGAAUUAAACCACAUGCUCCACCGCUUGUGCGGGCCCCCGUCAAUUCCUUUGAGUUUUAAUCUUGCGACCGUACUUCCCAGGCGGAAUGCUUAAUCCGUUAGGUGUGUCACCGAAUAGCAUGCUACCCGACGACUGGCAUUCAUCGUUUACGGCGUGGACUAC
This 375-nucleotide unclassified non-coding RNA is filed under the name uncultured Pseudomonadota bacterium. Its description in RNAcentral is "uncultured proteobacterium contains 16S-23S intergenic spacer region". Lineage: Bacteria; Pseudomonadati; Pseudomonadota. The record is from RNAcentral.